UCCCCAAUUCGUUAACCGAAGAGUGGAAAACAAACAAGCCCCAGCGGAGCGGAGGUCGAACCAUCACCAAACCCGAGCCCCGACCGCCCACCUCGCCGUCGCCGCCGCAGGCGAUCAGCCGCCGCCGCACUAAUCCCUGCCUUGUCCUUAUCAUAAAACCGCGGCGCUGGAGCUCUGAUGCUUCCCACCCCAUGGUCUUCCACAUUUCCCUCGCCCGCCACUGGCUUCCUCCUUCUCCUUGCCCUCCUCCCCGUCGCAUCGGGGACCUCAGUCCCUACCCUAGGAGGUUUCGAUCGUGGAGAGGCGGCCGGCGCGGACGCAUAUUCGAUCCUUACGUUUCACGACUACACGCCGCCUCCGCCCCCCGUUCUGCCGCCGCCACCGGCGGCCCCGGCGGCGACCUGCGCGGGGGACCUCCACGGCGUGGGAGACCUUGACACCCAGUGCGUGGUCCAUGAGUCGGUGAGGCUGGGUGGUGGGGUGUUCAUCAGUGGCAACGGCAGCCUCCUAAUCCUUGAUGGCGUCGCGGUUACCUGCGAGCGGCCUGGGUGCGUCGUCUCUGCCAACCUCUCCGGCGAUCUCCUCCUCGGGAACAGGUCCCGCGUCGUGGCCGGGUGGGUUUCCCUCGCGGCGGCCAACAUCACACUCGGCGAGGACGCUGUUAUUGACACCACCGCGCUUGGCGGUGACCCGCCGGACCAGACCAGUGGUGUACCCACUGGGACGUAUGGGGAUGGCGGUGGACAUGGCGGCCGUGGCGCCAGCUGCUUCGUUAAGAAGGGGCAAGCACAAGAGGACUCAUGGGGUGGUGAUUCCUACGCUUGGUCUGCACUGAAGACCCCAAAUAACUAUGGAAGCAAAGGGGGAUCCACUACCGUCGAGAAGGACUAUGGUGGUGGGGGUGGCGGUGUCGUGUGGUUGUUCGCUGAAGAGAUUGUGAUGAAUGGAACAGUUCUUGCUGAUGGUGGAGACGGUGGCACCAAGGGUGGGGGUGGCUCUGGGGGGAGCAUCUAUCUGAAGGCUUCAACAAUGCAAGGAGGUGGCAAAAUAAGUGCUUGUGGAGGCAAUGGUUUAGCUGGUGGAGGUGGAGGACGUGUUUCCAUCGAUGUUUUCAGUAGGCAUGACGACACACAAAUUUUUGUCCAUGGGGGGAAGAGUUCAGGAUGCUUGGACAAUGCGGGAGCAGCUGGAACACUUUAUGAAGCAGUACCUAAGAGUAUUACUGUUAGCAACAAUAACUUGAGCACACAAACGGAUACAGUUUUUCUAGACCCCCCAUAUGAGCCACUCUGGACAAAUGUUUUUGUCAGAAAUUGUGCCAAAGUUUCUCUUCCCUUACGGUGGAGCCGUAUUCAGGCUCAAGGACAGAUUCUUUUAUCUGGUGCUACUCUAACUUUUGGCCUGACACAUUAUCCAUAUUCAGAAUUUGAGCUGUUGGCUGAGGAACUUCUUAUGAGUGAUUCCACAAUCAAGGUCUUUGGCGCUUUACGAAUGUCGGUAAAGAUGCUCCUUAUGUGGAACUCAAGAAUGACUAUUGAUGGUGGCCGAGAACUAGGUGUGGGAACUUCAUUACUAGAAGGUAGCAAUUUGAUAGUGCUGAAGGAAGCAUCUGUCAUACAUUCAAAUGCUAAUCUAGGGAUUCAUGGUCAAGGAGUUCUAAAUUUAUCUGGUCAAGGAGAUACAAUAGAGGCACAACGCCUUAUUUUAUCACUGUUUUACAACAUUUUGGUUGGACCUGGAGCUGUUCUAAGGGGCCCACUUAUAAAUGGAAGUCGUGAUGAGAUGGCCCCAAAACUGAAUUGCGAAGAUGAGAGUUGCCCUAUGGAAAUCUUUCAUCCACCUGAGGAUUGCAACUUGAACUCUUCAUUGCCUUUUACUUUACAGAUAUGCCGUGUUGAAGAUAUUGAUGUUUCUGGCCUUGUUCAAGGAACUGUAGUUAAUUUUAACAGAGCAAGAAGUGUCACUGUUCAGACAUCUGGGACCAUAAGUGCAACAGGAUUAGCUUUAAAGAUUUCAUUAAGACAAAUUUAUUGUUAUGGGAUUCAUGGCCAGAGUCUAAGUCAGCUGGCCCCUCAUCUGGUCAAGUCGUUCUCUUCUAGGGCUAAAAAGAGGAGUGUCCACGAUGCUCUCACAACAAGGAACUGGGUGCAUGACAUUCGAGGUGCUAUCACCCUAAGUGUUCUGUCUGAUUUUCUCAAAGUUUGGAACCUCACUGCAGACUGGGCCUUACAUCCGGACCAUGAGGAUAAGCACAUCUGGCUGCUCUCAAGCUCAGGCUGCCGAGGUGGCAUUGGAAGAGGAAAAAUGUUAAGCAGUGGGUUUAGUGGUGGGGGUGGGCAUGGUGGUAAAGGCGGUGAUGGCAUUUAUAAUGGUGGUCAUGUAGAGGGUGGAUCUGCGUAUGGUCAUGCUGAUUUACCAUGUGAACUUGGCAGUGGCAGCGGUAAUGUCAGUGGAUCUUCAACUGCUGGUGGUGGUAUAAUAGUGAUGGGUUCUUUGGAACAAUCUCUGCCGAACCUCUCCCUUUCUGGCUCGAUUGAGGCAAAUGGUGGUAAUUUUACUGGUUUGAUGUCUCAUGCCACAAUUGGAGGACCUGGUGGCGGUUCUGGUGGUACAAUUCUUCUUUUUGUGCGGACAUUACUCUUGAAGAAGGACUCUGUACUUUCUAGUGUUGGGGGAGUUGGUGGCAAUGGCAGUGGUGGAGGUGGAGGGGGUCGGAUUCACUUCCACUGGUUUGAUAUUCCCACUGGAGAUGAUUAUAUUCCUUUUGCAACCAUUAAAGGAACAAUACUUGCAAGAGGAGGAGUCAGUGAAGGGCAAGGUUUCUCUGGUGAGAAUGGAACCAUCACAGGAAAGGAUUGCCCAAAAGGUCUUUAUGGAACAUUUUGCAAGGAAUGUCCCUCAGGAACAUACAAGAAUAUUACUGGAUCAUCUAAGUCCAUGUGCUCACCAUGCCCUCCAAAUGAGCUACCUCGCCGUGCUGUAUACAUAAGCGUCCGAGGAGGUGUUGCUGAACCCCCAUGCCCAUACAAAUGCGUGUCUGAUAGAUAUAGCAUGCCUCACUGUUUUACUGCCCUUGAAGAGCUGAUAUACACGUUUGGUGGACCUUGGUUGUUUGGUCUGCUUCUGUCUGGCCUUCUUGUUUUAUUAGCUCUUGUUUUGAGUAUUGCUCGGAUGAAGUUUGUUGGUACUGAUGAGUUGCCUGGACCAGCACCAACUCAACAGAGCUCCCAAAUUGAUCACUCUUUUCCCUUCCUUGAAUCACUGAAUGAGGUAUUGGAAACAAACAGGGCAGAAGAAUCUCACUGUCAUGUGCACAGGAUGUAUUUCAUGGGCCCAAACACCUUCAGUGAACCUUGGCAUCUCCCACACACCCCGCCAGAGCAGAUUUCAGAGAUUGUGUACGAAGAUGCAUUUAACAAAUUUGUUGAUGAGAUCAAUGCUCUUGCAGCCUAUCAGUGGUGGGAAGGUUCAGUUUUUAGCAUCCUAUGUAUACUUUCAUUUCCCCUGGCAUGGUCGUGGCAACAGUGGCGCAGGAGAAAGAAAUUACAAAAACUACGUGAAUUUGUUCGUUCUGAAUAUGAUCAUUCAUGUUUACGGUCCUGCCGUUCGCGUGCACUUUACGAGGGGCUAAAGGUAGCUGCUACUCCAGAUUUAAUGCUGGGUUAUUUAGAUUUCUUCCUUGGUGGGGAUGAGAAAAGGACUGAUCUUCCUCCUCGGCUUCAUCAAAGGUUUCCAAUGUCCCUGAUCUUUGGAGGUGAUGGAAGCUAUAUGGCUCCAUUUUCACUUCAUAGCGACAGAGUGGUCACAACUCUUAUAAGUCAGGCUGUGCCAUCAUCUAUAUGGCAUCGUCUUGUAGCUGGAUUGAAUGCCCAGUUGCGUUUGGUUCGCCGUGGAAAUCUAAACACAUCACUUCUCCCUGUGCUCAAAUGGCUAGAAAGUCAUGCAAAUCCUGAAUUGAACACGUACCGUGUGCGUGUUGACCUUGCAUGGUUUCAAACUACAGCAUUAGGUUACCUUCAGUUUGGUCUUGUCCUUCAUGCUGUCGGGGGAGUGGUGGCUGCUGAACUCCAGGAUGGCUGUACAAGUAAAACCGAUCAGCAUUCAGUAAACCAGAAUACAUGCACUGACUCUCAAAUGGGCCACUCAAGGACCAAUGAUGUUCUGCGUAAAAGGAUAACUGGCACCAUUCUCAAUGUUGACAACUUAAGGAUGCUUGGUGGCAGGAGAGGUUUCUUUUACCUUCUCUCUCUUAUCUUGCACAAUACAAAACCAGUUGGACAUCAGGACCUUGUCGGCUUAGUCAUCUCAAUACUGCUUCUUGCAGAUUUCAGCUUAGUCUUGCUUACUUUCCUCCAACUAUAUUCAUAUUCUAUGGUCGAUGUUCUGUUAGUCUUGUUCAUUCUUCCUCUUGGGAUACUAGCACCAUUUCCAGCUGGGAUAAAUGCUCUUUUUAGUCAUGAACAGCGGCGGUCAGCUGGUCUUGCUCGUGUCUAUGCCUUGUGGAAUAUUACAUCACUGGUUAAUGUUGUAAGUACUCCUCCAUCAUUGUCUGUACCUGGAUUUUGCUCUAACAAGUUCAUUAGGUUGCCAAGUUCAGAUUCAUAGGGAGUUGUAAUCAUUGCUGUUUGCUUGAGCAUUUGUUGGGGAUUCAAUAUUGCCAUUAAGAGUUCAAGCAUGGGCAUCGAUAGAGGCUGAAUGCUGGAACCUUAUUCCUACCCCCAGAUUUGUAUCAUGUUGUGGCUUUUGUAUGUGGAUUUCUGCAUUACAAGUCAUCAAGCAAAAAACAUCCAAGCAUGCAGCCGUGGAGUUUUGGUGGGGAGGAAACCAGCUGGUCGCUAUUCCCUAUAGGACUUGUUCUAUGCAAGUGCAUUCAAGCAAGGCUUGUUGAUUGGCAUGUAUCUAUCUUGGAGAUCCAGGAUCGUGCAGUUUAUAGCAAUGACCCAACAAUAUUUUGGCAGUGAAAGCAUUUCGAUUUACAGGAGUUCUCAUGAGGAGAGCUUAAUGCAACUCAAGUUUUUGUGGGAGUUGAUAAAAGGAAGGCUAUGGAGUUAGUCUGUUCUUUGUCCGCCCAGUCAGGGGAAGCAUGUACAAAGUAGAUGCUGGUAAUUGCCUGCCUAUAUAGACUUAAUGACUUACAGUGCAUGGUCAACCUUUUGUCCAGUCACUCACCCAGCUUUGUUUUCCUUGUACAUAGGAAACGGGUUUAAUUAGUUGACCGAUUCGUUGUAGGAUUUAGGAUUUAGACACCAUAGAAUUAUAGAUUACCCAAGGUAAUCUCAAAGAGAUGGUGGAAAACAUAUAUACUUCUUUUGUUUAAAGCUUUGUCUUUUGCAUUGAUGUUGAGCUGGGAAACGGGUGAGGCAUCAAAUAGAGCUUUUUUCCCCUCUGUUAAGAUUAAGACAAAUGUUAACGUGCUGAUGUUUUAUUCAAGAUCUGGUUGCCAUA
Zea mays is the source of this 5445-nucleotide RNA transcript. RefSeq lists it as uncharacterized. The record is from RefSeq and is a predicted model, not a curated record. The transcript is spliced from 23 exons. NCBI's taxonomy places the organism in Eukaryota, Viridiplantae, Streptophyta, Magnoliopsida, Poales, Poaceae.